This 437-nucleotide ribosomal RNA is filed under the name uncultured bacterium. RNAcentral describes it as "bacterial SSU rRNA". It matches the Rfam family "Bacterial small subunit ribosomal RNA", at positions 29 to 507 of the family's 1533-position model. The record is from RNAcentral.
AACGAACGCUGGCGGCAUGCCUAACACAUGCAAGUCGAACGAGACCUUCGGGUCUAGUGGCGCACGGGUGCGUAACGCGUGGGAACCUGCCUUUAGGUUCGGAAUAACUCAGAGAAAUUUGAGCUAAUACCGGAUGAUGUCUUCGGACCAAAGAUUUAUCGCCUUUAGAUGGGCCCGCGUUGGAUUAGCUAGUUGGUGGGGUAAAGGCCUACCAAGGCGACGAUCCAUAGCUGGUCUGAGAGGAUGAUCAGCCACACUGGGACUGAGACACGGCCCAGACUCCUACGGGAGGCAGCAGUGGGGAAUAUUGGACAAUGGGCGAAAGCCUGAUCCAGCAAUGCCGCGUGAGUGAUGAAGGCCUUAGGGUUGUUAAAGGCUCUUUACCCGUACGAUGAUAAUAGACAGUAUCGGGAGAAUAAGCUCCGGCUAACUCCGUG